Molecule: long non-coding RNA, 2078 nt
Organism: Arvicola amphibius (Eurasian water vole)
Lineage: Eukaryota; Metazoa; Chordata; Mammalia; Rodentia; Cricetidae
Exons: 4
Source: RefSeq, a predicted model, not a curated record
UUUCUGUCACUGUCGGCUUCAAAAUGAAACAGAUGGCUUGACUCUCCAGGACUUUGCAUGCUGGGGAGGUUACCUAAGAGCAGAGCGCAGUGAGAGCUGUCGGAGAGUAGCCCUGUGGAGACGGAGACACUGGGGUGCAAUCCAGGAAGUGAGGUUGGGCCAUGCUGACAGAUGAAACCAACUAACACAAGCAGCCUUGGGUUUCAGCCUCUGUGGUGGCUUUCAUCACAUACCUUUCACCCCUACGGAUAUACGUGGAAGGAGCCACUUCUCUCUGUGCCGUGGAAGAAAAGCACCAUGCAAGUGUCUGGAUUCUCUACAAGCACAAAGCUGGUAGACAUGCUCCCCUCUACGAACGAUUCAUUCCUCCUCUUCUGAUGGCUGGAAUGUGACUACAGUGGCUGGAGCUAGAGUAGCUAUUUUGGACCAUUCAUCACACAGGGGAGAGUGGGGCUCCAUCUCACGGGAAAAUGAGAGAAGUCAGAAAAUAUCAGCCCUGCACUGACUACCUGGAAACUUGUUUAUGAGAAAGAAACAGCCUUUUAGCUUACAUAAGCCAUCACUAUUUUUACAAAUCUGUUUCUUACAAGAGAACCCAACUCUGAGUAGUGUACUUGAAUGUCUUUAUUUACACAAUGCUGAUAUCAAAUAUGAAACAGUUAAAAAAAACUACUUGCUAAAGGAGAAGUAACAGAUGUCUAGCAAAAAUGCCAUCGUGGUUUGUAUGUGGUACAAAUCUGAAUAAUAUUUAAGAAUAUCUGUGAGAAGGGCAGACAUCUGGCAAAUUUCUUGUGUAUUAAUGACAAGGUAGCACAGUGACUUUGUUCUUUCUAGUCGUAUCUUCCAGGACACACUGUGGAAGCUGGCAAAUCUUUCAGGAAAGUUUAUAUUUUGAAGAAAUUGUUAGAAUAAACAAAAUCUGAGAGUCAGUGGGAGAUGGCUAAAAUGGGAAUUGCUGAACGAAAUGUACCAAAUCUGUCAAACCUGGACAACUCUGUAUUUACUUCCUCUGGCUGUGAUGGGUAAUACCGACUGUCCACUGUUCAGGAUCUAGGAUCACCUAUGAGACCGGCUUCUAGACGAGUCUGUGAGACGGUUUCUAGACUGGGUGUACCGAGGUGGGAAGACUCUCCUGAAAUGGGGGAACCAUUUUCUGGGUGGAGGCCCUGGGCUGAAUCUGAAGGAGAAAGUGAGCUGAGCACAAGCACAUCUCUCUGCUUCCUGACUGCAUGAGAUGAGACCAGCUGUUCACGUUCCUGCUGCUAUGACAUCUGCAUCACGAUGGGCUGAACACUUAAACUGGAAGCCACAACAAACACUUUUUCCCCAAGCUUCUUCAGUCAAAUAUUCUGUCACUACAUGAUAAAAGUAACAAAUGGUCCUGAGGUCAGUGUGUAGUCAGGCAGAGAGAUGAUCAGAGUUUUUCUGUCAAUUUUGUACUGAUCCAAAAUGACUCACAAGAAACUGAUCCCCUCCGUGAUCUUGAGGUGUUAUCUACAUGCCCGUUACACAGAAAAAGGAUUCAAGGCUUUAAGGAAUUAGAACAAUUUUCUAAUUCCAAAGACCUUUGGCUGAGGCUUCGGCCAUGUGGUGGUUUGAAAGAAAAAAGCCCCCUGAAGGGUGGGGCACUAUUAGGAGAUGUGUCUUUGUUGGAGUGGGUGUGGCCUCCUUGGAGGAAGUAUGUCACUGUAGAGGCAGGGUUUGAGGUCUUAUAUAUGCUCAAGUCAUGCCCUGUGUCUCUGACCUCUUCCUGUUGACUGGGAGUCAAGAUGCAGAACUCUCAGCUCCUUUUCCAGUACCAUGUUUCCCUGCACACUGCCAUGUUUCCCACCAUAAUGAUAAUGGACUAAACCUCUGAACUGUAAGCCAGCUACCACAAUUAAAUGGUUUCCUUUAUAAGAUUUGCCAUGGUCAUGGUGUCUCUUCACAGCAAAAGAAAUCUUAACUAAGACAGACCUCUUUCAAUGCUGUCCCUAAGAAGACCUUCAGAUCUUAGGAACUCGAAUGACCCACCAACUUCUUUAGUUUGCUUCAAAACAUAAAGCAAAGAGCCUGAUAUUCCUUUUGGGGCCUGGAAA